AUUGAACGCUGGCGGCAUGCCUUACACAUGCAAGUCGAACGGCAGCGCGGACUUCGGUCUGGCGGCGAGUGGCGAACGGGUGAGUAAUACAUCGGAACGUACCCUGUUGUGGGGGAUAACUAGUCGAAAGAUUAGCUAAUACCGCAUACGACCUGAGGGUGAAAGUGGGGGACCGCAAGGCCUCACGCAGCAGGAGCGGCCGAUGUCUGAUUAGCUAGUUGGUGGGGUAAAGGCCCACCAAGGCGACGAUCAGUAGCUGGUCUGAGAGGACGAUCAGCCACACUGGGACUGGGACACGGCCCAGACUCCUACGGGAGGCAGCAGUGGGGAAGUUUGGACAAUGGGGGCAACCCUGAUCCAGCAAUGCCGCGUGUGUGAAGAAGGCCUUCGGGUUGUAAAGCACUUUUGUCCGGAAAGAAAUCGCGCUGGUUAAUACCUGGCGUGGAUGACGGUACCGGAAGAAUAAGCACCGGCUAACUACGUGCCAGCAGCCGCAGUAA
RNAcentral lists this ribosomal RNA (500 nucleotides) under uncultured bacterium. RNAcentral's name for it is "partial 16S ribosomal RNA". It matches the Rfam family "Bacterial small subunit ribosomal RNA", at positions 29 to 523 of the family's 1533-position model. The record is from RNAcentral.